GUGGAUCGGUAGGUACUGUAUGUGGAUCGGUAGGUACUGUAUGUGGAUCGGUAGGUACUGUAUGUGGAUCGGUAGGUACUGUAUGUGGAUCGGUAGGUACUGUAUGUGGAUCGGUAGGUACUGUAUGUGGAUCGGUAGGUACUGUAUGUGGAUCGGUAGGUACUGUAUGUGGAUCGGUAGGUACUGUAUGUGGAUCGGUAGGUACUGUAUGUGGAUCGGUAGGUACUGUAUGUGGAUCGGUAGGUACUGUAUGUGGAUCGGUAGGUACUGUAUGUGGAUCGGUAGGUACUGUAUGUGGAUCGUCAGCUACAGCCCGUGUGUGAGAAAAGGGAUUGGCUCAGUGCUGGUCCUGGAUCGACCGUCACAGAACUAACUGUAUAGGAACUAUCAAGGCAGAAUCAAGGCAACAAGGAGAACCAAGGCACUCGUUAUACUGUA
Molecule: long non-coding RNA, 438 nt
Organism: Oncorhynchus keta (chum salmon)
Lineage: Eukaryota; Metazoa; Chordata; Actinopteri; Salmoniformes; Salmonidae
Exons: 3
Source: RefSeq, a predicted model, not a curated record